RNAcentral lists this non-coding RNA (22 nucleotides) under Arabidopsis thaliana (thale cress). Lineage: Eukaryota; Viridiplantae; Streptophyta; Magnoliopsida; Brassicales; Brassicaceae. The record is from RNAcentral.
GUGGUGCUCGUAGCCUGCGCGA